ACGGGAGGCAGCAGUGGGGGAUAUUGCACAAUGGGCGCAAGCCUGAUGCAGCGAUGCCGCGUGAGGGAAGAAGGUUUUCGGAUUGUAAACCUCUGUCAACAGGGACGAAAAUGACGGUACCUGUGAAGGAAGCUCCGGCUAACUACGUGCCAGCAGCCGCGGUAAUACGUAGGGAGCAAGCGUUAUCCGGAAUUACUGGGUGUAAAGGGAGUGUAGGCGGGACUGUAAGUCAGAUGUGAAAUAUGCCGGCUCAACUGGCAGACUGCAUUUGAAACUGCGGUUCUUGAGUGAAGUAGAGGUAAGCGGAAUUCCUAGUGUAGCGGUGAAAUGCGUGGAUAUUAGGAGGAACAUCAGUGGCGAAGGCGGCUUACUGGGCUUUAACUGACGCUGAGGCUCGAAAGCGUGGGGAGCAAACAGGAUUGAUACCCUGGUA
Molecule: ribosomal RNA, 433 nt
Filed under: uncultured Ruminococcus sp.
Lineage: Bacteria; Bacillati; Bacillota; Clostridia; Eubacteriales; Oscillospiraceae
Description: bacterial SSU rRNA
Rfam family: Bacterial small subunit ribosomal RNA
Source: RNAcentral